RNAcentral lists this ribosomal RNA (495 nucleotides) under uncultured bacterium. RNAcentral describes it as "partial 16S ribosomal RNA". It matches the Rfam family "Bacterial small subunit ribosomal RNA", at positions 28 to 507 of the family's 1533-position model. The record is from RNAcentral.
GACGAACGCUGGCGGCGUGCCUAAUACAUGCAAGUAGAACGCUGAAGGAGGAGCUUGCUUCUCUGGAUGAGUUGCCAACGGGUGAGUAACGCGUAGGUAACCUGCCUGGUAGCGGGGGAUAACUAUUGGAAACGAUAGCUAAUACCGCAUAAGAGUAGAUGUUGCAUGACAUUUGCUUAAAAGGUGCAAUUGCAUCACUACCAGAUGGACCUGCGUUGUAUUAGCUAGUUGGUGGGGUAACGGCUCACCAAGGCGACGAUACAUAGCCGACCUGAGAGGGUGAUCGGCCACACUGGGACUGAGACACGGCCCAGACUCCUACGGGAGGCAGCAGUAGGGAAUCUUCGGCAAUGGACGGAAGUCUGACCGAGCAACGCCGCGUGAGUGAAGAAGGUUUUCGGAUCGUAAAGCUCUGUUGUAAGAGAAGAACGAGUGUGAGAGUGGAAAGUUCACACUGUGACGGUAUCUUACCAGAAAGGGACGGCUAACUACGUG